This 265-nucleotide ribosomal RNA is filed under the name uncultured bacterium. RNAcentral's name for it is "partial 16S ribosomal RNA". It matches the Rfam family "Bacterial small subunit ribosomal RNA", at positions 793 to 1055 of the family's 1533-position model. The record is from RNAcentral.
GUCCACGCCCUAAACGAUGCGAGCUCGGUGUGGGACGUUCAAUCAUGUCCCGUGCCCUAAGCUUACGCGGUAAGCUCGCCGCCUGGGAAGUACGGCCGCAAGGCUAAAACUCAAAGGAAUAGACGGGGACCCACACAAGCGGUGGAGCAUGGGGUUUAAUUCGAUGACAAGCGAAGCACCUCACCCAGACUUGACAUGUAGAGAAUCCCGAAGAAAUUUGGGAGUGCCGCAAGGAGCUCUAACACAGGCGCUGCACGGUCGUCGU